Molecule: unclassified non-coding RNA, 240 nt
Filed under: soil metagenome
Description: partial contains 5.8S ribosomal RNA, internal transcribed spacer 2, and large subunit ribosomal RNA
Source: RNAcentral
AACGCACGAGACCUGCGGACCUGCGGAGGGAUCAUUAAUGAUACAACAAGUCGGUCUCCUGUGCUGGCGCAACCACGCAUGUGCACGUUGACUGGCAAACAUCCGCACACCUUGUGCACCUUUGGACCAUGGACAAGUUCGUCCAGGCUUAGGCUUGGAUUUGAGCAACCUCUGUUGGUACUUUUUCACAAACUAGCAUGUCUUAUGGGAUGUUGAGGCGCUUUUAAGCGUCGUAUAUGA